AUUGAACGCUGCCGGCAGGCCUAACACAUGCAAGUCGAACGGUAACAGGAAGCAGCUUGCUGCUUUGCUGACGAGUGGCGGACGGGUGAGUAAUGUCUGGGAAACUGCCCGAUGGAGGGGGAUAACUACUGGAAACGGUAGCUAAUACCGCAUAACGUCGCAAGACCAAAGAGGGGGACCUUAGGGCCUCUUGCCAUCGGAUGUGCCCAGAUGGGAUUAGCUAGUAGGUGGGGUAACGGCUCACCUAGGCGACGAUCCCUAGCUGGUCUGAGAGGAUGACCAGCCACACUGGAACUGAGACACGGUCCAGACUCCUACGGGAGGCAGCAGUGGGGAAUAUUGCACAAUGGGCGCAAGCCUGAUGCAGCCAUGCCGCGUGUAUGAAGAAGGCCUUCGGGUUGUAAAGUACUUUCAGCGGGGAGGAAGGGAGUAAAGUUAAUACCUUUGCUCAUUGACGUUACCCGCAGAAGAAGCACCGGCUAACUCCGUG
RNAcentral lists this ribosomal RNA (490 nucleotides) under uncultured bacterium. RNAcentral's name for it is "partial 16S ribosomal RNA". It matches the Rfam family "Bacterial small subunit ribosomal RNA", at positions 30 to 507 of the family's 1533-position model. The record is from RNAcentral.